AGGCCCUCUGCGCCUUGGUGGGAGGAAGAGGAAUCAUCCUUGUUGCUGACCCCCUGCGACGGUGCUGGCUGGACGGGGUGUGCAUCGUGCCAGGAGCUGGUCCCUCAUUCAUCCUCACAGCAGCCCUCCCGGGCUCGCCCGCCGUGACUUUCACUCCCAUUUCACAGACGAGGACCCUGAGGUCCAGGGAGGCUGAGUGGGCUGCCCUCCCCAGCUGGAGCCUGGAGGGGAUUUGAACUCGGGCCUCAGGGCAGAGCCUGUCGCUGUCUGGGCUGGGCUGAGCUGACUCCCCAGGGCCGUCAGCUCCACUGCAUCCUGACCACCUGGGAACUGUGGUCAGCACUUUCCAGGCUCAAAGGCAUGGCUGCUUACAGCGUGCCCGAGGGACAGCCCAGCUGCAGCCCCUCCUCACCAGCGACCCCUGGGCCCUUUGCCUCGGGGCCAGGCAAGCGGAGAGCAGAGAGCAGUGUGUGAGGAGGGAAAAAAGCCGGACUACAGGGACCCCAGCCACCCGCCAGCCCCUACCCUGCAGCCUCUCCUGCCAGAGGCCGAGGCUCCUGAGCUGCCCCGUGCAGGGAGUGUGGCCAGGCGAGGCUCCGUGGAGUGCAGGAGCUGCG
Long non-coding RNA from Homo sapiens (human), 617 nucleotides. NCBI's taxonomy places the organism in Eukaryota, Metazoa, Chordata, Mammalia, Primates, Hominidae. The record is from Ensembl.